GGAACCUAAUCUAUGUCAACAACCCUGAUAUUAUCAUGAUCACAAAUCUCGGCCUCGUCCCCAUCACCAUCAUCAUCGACCUCUGAGGCGGAGAGCUUGAGCUCGAUAGCUAGCUCAUUCACUGUCCUCAGCUCCUCAACAACAGGCCUUAAGUGCUCGAGUUGCCUAGUUCGGAGAAAAGAGCGAGCAAGCUGCAAGCCUUAGUGAUAGGAACCCGAGCCAUAUUGACCAAGGAGGGUCCAGAACUCUUCCGAUUUCUUGAAGUCGUCCACAGCUUGAGCUCGAGCUUCGUCACGAGCUUUCAUCAGCUCCUCCUCGAAGCCCUUCUUGGACUCGAGAAGCUCAAGCUUUGCUUCUUGAGCUUUCCCCUUGUGAAUCUCGACCUCCUCUCGAGCCUUUUUAAGUUCGGCCUUCACUGCAUCAAGAGCUUUCUCGAGGUCACUAGCUCACACGUCAGCUCGCUUGCGAGAUAGGUGAGGCCUCGUGCUACGCUCAACGUCUGCAUAAAUAAAUUCGACGUUAGUUCAAUGAAAGAAGACUAUCAAAUAAAGGAAACACAAUUGAGGUUGAUAUCUUAACCUCAAUGUCAGGACCUCCAAUAUCUUAACCCCCUCAUGCAUGUUGACCUCUUUCUCAAACCGUCCAACAAGAUCCUUCAUGAGGGCGCACUCAGAAUACUCCUCGAGGGAGCUAUCAGAGAUGGGAGAGAAGCCGGAGUUAGCAACGCCCUGGCAUCCCCGAAAUCGAUCUCGUGUCCUUAGUAUUGGCUAAGGUGGUGGGGUUGGGGCCUUCGGCAUCGAGGACUGGCCUUUAUACAAGGUCGAGGUUACUGCCACCGGGGGCUCCCUCGCAGUGACCUCCCUUGCCCUCUUCUUCUCCUUAGAUGGAGCCAUGGCUCUAAGCUUUGGACCCUUGGCUUGUGUUGAAUGUUCACGAGAAGGUUUGAUAGGUUGAAAGACAUUUCCAAAUCUGCAAAAAUAAAUCAUAAGACAUUAGACCGACCUUAAGGUCAAGGAGAAUCUAUGAGAAGAAAACAAGAUGAAAGGACGUACUCUCGAGGCCUUUCACAUUGGCAAGGUCAAGGGUGUCAUCCUUAAGCAAGUAAUCAAUCUUCUCUGCCAAAGGAUCGUGAUUAACUAACCUUAACCUAUCUCACUCUAAUUCCUUGAAGUAUGCCUGCCCUUCGUUAAAUCUAUCCUUGUCGGGUACCUCCCACUUCAGAUUAAAUGGGUGGUUAGGGUUUUGUGGUUUCACGAAAAAAACCUCUCUUUCCAACCCCGGAGGGAGCUCAGGGUCUCUGGUGUUCUAAACCCUUUCCUUUGUUGAUAAAUAAACAAAG
This 1339-nucleotide long non-coding RNA is filed under the name Olea europaea subsp. europaea. Lineage: Eukaryota; Viridiplantae; Streptophyta; Magnoliopsida; Lamiales; Oleaceae. The record is from RNAcentral.